CAGCCUGCCCAGUGACUCUGUUCAACGGCCGCGGUAUCCUAACCGUGCGAAGGUAGCGUAAUCACUUGUUCUUUAAAUGAGGACUAGUAUGAAUGGCACCACGAAGGUUAUACUGUCUCCUUUUUCUAAUCAGUGAAACUAAUCUUCCCGUGAAGAAGCGGGAAUAAAAAUAUAAGACGAGAAGACCCUAUGGAGCUUUAAACAAAUAUACAACUGUCCACACUACUAAAAAUUUCAGAAGAUAAACACUCACCUGGACACUUUGAUAUAGAGUUUUAGGUUGGGGUGACCACGGAGUAAAAAACAACCUCCGCAAUGAAAGGGAACUUUCCCUAAACCAAGAGCUACAGCCCUAAGUAUCAAUAAAUUGACACCAAUUGACCCAGUACAUCUGAUCAAUGAACCAAGUUACCCUAGGGAUAACAGCGCAAUCCACUUCAAGAGCCCCUAUCGACAAGUGGGUUUACGACCUCGAUGUUGGAUCAGGGUAUCCUAGUGGUGCAGCCGCUACUAACGGUUCGUUUGUUCAACGAUUAAAACCCUACGUGAUCUAU
RNAcentral lists this ribosomal RNA (554 nucleotides) under Leptodactylus camaquara (digger foam frog). RNAcentral describes it as "partial large subunit ribosomal RNA". It matches the Rfam family "Bacterial large subunit ribosomal RNA", at positions 1854 to 2608 of the family's 2925-position model. Lineage: Eukaryota; Metazoa; Chordata; Amphibia; Anura; Leptodactylidae. The record is from RNAcentral.